GUUUAACAAUUUUCUUUAUUGCUGGAAUAAGUCUUAACCAAGAUCAAGAUCAAAGUACUUCACUAAGUUAUAUAUGCAGGCAUUGCAAUACUUUGGCUUCAUCUAAGCUUGAGCCAGCCCUCUGUUGUAUAUUGUUUCUUCUUCUUCUUUGAUCUUUUUCCUUUGAUUAAUGAGAGGUGAUGAUGAUUUGGCAUUAUCUUUUCACCAGGAUGAAUUUUGUUUUUGUAAUUGUAAUACUUUGUGUGUAU
This 248-nucleotide long non-coding RNA is filed under the name Gossypium barbadense (sea-island cotton). Its description in RNAcentral is "long non-coding RNA (GBAR_LNC002963)". The record is from RNAcentral. Lineage: Eukaryota; Viridiplantae; Streptophyta; Magnoliopsida; Malvales; Malvaceae.